CAGGGAGUGCCCGGAACACCAUAACGACUCUGCGCCGCCAACUUCUACUGGAACACAUUUGGGAAAUAGAGUCUUCCAUCAUCCGCUCGAGCUGGUGGAACCAUAAUGAAUAUGACAGUCUCCUAUGUACCCAAGAAAGGGGGAAAACGAGCUACAUUUCUUAUAGAAGCUGUUUAGACAGGAGCCUAGCAUGGCUGUCCUUUGAGAGGCUCUACCAGCAGCUGACUGAUACAUGCAGAUAUUAACAGCCAACCAUUGACCUGAGAUCGGAAACCCCUAUGGAAGAAUGAGGGGAAGGACUGAAGGAACUGAAGAUUCCAGGCUGAAUCUGUAUCUACCAUUCAUCAGAAAACCACAACACUAAAUGGCUGUUUGUUGAACCUGUUUGGAUUCUGGCUGCCUGUAAACCUGGAUUAUGCCACCUUUUCCUCAAAGGGAUUGGAAAGUCAAGAAGGAACGAGGUUUCCGCGGGAAAGGGAUAUCCCAAGGUUUUGCCAAUAGAAAGCACCAACGACUUACAGUCUAUUGAGUGGAGACUGAUAUAUGGUAAGUGAUUUACAAAACUCUGCUCUGAAGCCAAUCCCUAGAGAUAUGAUGCUCUCUCUUCAUGGAAACUGGACCCAAAAAGAAAAAUGAACUCUCAUUCUUCCAGUGGUCAGCUCCUGUGGUCAUUCCCUAGAGUGUACAGGACCAGAGGAUGGAUGGCUGGUUUUGACUACAUUUAUAAUCUUCAAUGGCUAAUCCUUUAUGUCUUACAUAUUAAGAGGACAUAUUGCAACAUUUACUUUUUCCCCCUUGGGAUUUUUGUCUUCAUCAAAGAACUGGAAAUAUGACGUGCUGAAAUAAAACCUGUGCUAGAAGGAAUUCUGCCUAUCCUCUGACAUUUCUUCGUAAAGUAUUAAUGAUUCUUCUAUUUUUCUAAAUUACAGUGAUGGAUGCAUCUUGGCAAAGUGAAAAUUGAAUAUAAAAUGUUGUGAUGAAUUAUAAAUAUAGACAUAUUUCAUUCUCUCAUCUCAAUACUUUGCAUUAAAUAUGAGUGUUGUAUUUCUUUCAAGUGAUGGAGUUAAUUUUAUCUGGGAAAAUAAUAAAGUGAUCAUUCAUUUUUGAAA
Mastomys coucha (southern multimammate mouse) is the source of this 1109-nucleotide long non-coding RNA. RefSeq lists it as uncharacterized. The transcript has 5 exons. The record is from RefSeq and is a predicted model, not a curated record. NCBI's taxonomy places the organism in Eukaryota, Metazoa, Chordata, Mammalia, Rodentia, Muridae.